Molecule: non-coding RNA, 124 nt
Filed under: human gut metagenome
Description: FMN riboswitch (RFN element)
Rfam family: FMN riboswitch aptamer (RFN element)
About the family: The RFN element is a highly conserved domain that is found frequently in the 5'-untranslated regions of prokaryotic mRNAs that encode for flavin mononucleotide (FMN) biosynthesis and transport proteins.
Source: RNAcentral
UUUCUUCAGGGUUGGGUGAAAUUCCCUAUCGGCGGUAAACCUGUACAUUCAGGCAAGCCCGCGAGCGAAAGCUGAUUCCGGUUAGAUUCCGGAGCCGACGGUUACAGUCCGGAUGGCAGAAGAG